CCUACGGGAGGCUGCAGUGAGGAAUAUUGGUCAAUGGACGAGAGCCUGAACCAGCCAAGUCGCGUGAAGGAUGACUGUCCUAUGGGUUGUAAACUUCUUUUAUAUGGGAAUAAAAUGCGGCACGUGUGGGAUUUUGUAUGUACCAUAUGAAUAAGGCUCGGCUAACUCCGUGCCAGCAGCCGCGGUAAUACGGAGGAUCCGAGCGUUAUCCGGAUUUAUUGGGUUUAAAGGGAGCGUAGGUGGAUUGUUAAGUCAGUUGUGAAAGUUUGCGGCUCAACCGUAAAAUUGCAGUUGAAACUGGCAGUCUUGAGUACAGUAGAGGUAGGUGGAAUUCGUGGUGUAGCGGUGAAAUGCUUAGAUAUCACGAAGAACUCCGAUGGCGAAGGCAGCUCACUGGACUGUAACUGACAUUGAUGCUCGAAAGUGUGGGGAUCAAACAGGAUUAGAUACCCGUGUAGUC
Molecule: ribosomal RNA, 460 nt
Filed under: uncultured bacterium
Lineage: Bacteria
Description: partial 16S ribosomal RNA
Rfam family: Bacterial small subunit ribosomal RNA
Source: RNAcentral